RNAcentral lists this non-coding RNA (28 nucleotides) under Rattus norvegicus (Norway rat). The record is from RNAcentral. Lineage: Eukaryota; Metazoa; Chordata; Mammalia; Rodentia; Muridae.
UUCUCUGUGAGUUGUAAUGCCUUUGAGA